GGGGGUGUAAUAGAUUCGACGGGUAUCUGUUGCCUUUCGGAAGCAAGUGCCGGUUGGUCCGGCCGGCUAAAAUAGGACCGAAAAAAUAACUAACGACAAUCAAGUCGCUUGGGCUAACGCUUAGUCCACUGCGCUUUUCCUGUUUCCCGCGCGGGGAAAGAACGCAGUUAAUCCACGGGAUGCGGCAGUACGGGCGCGGUUCGUCCCGCCUGCCUAAGCCUAACGAACCAAACCGCAAACGUGCCGUUGCGCGCUUAGUUUGCGGUAUUGAGCGCAACUAAACUUGUAGAGACCGGUGGGAGAAGAUGUUCGGACGGGGGUGCGAAUCCCCCCACCUCCACU
Molecule: transfer-messenger RNA, 342 nt
Filed under: bovine gut metagenome
Rfam family: transfer-messenger RNA
About the family: Bacterial tmRNA, also known as 10Sa RNA or SsrA, is named for its dual tRNA and mRNA-like properties. Its role is to liberate the mRNA from a stalled ribosome. To accomplish this part of the tmRNA is used as a reading frame that ends in a translation stop signal.
Source: RNAcentral